GGACGAACGCUGGCGGCAUGCUUAACACAUGCAAGUCGAGGGAUAGCAAUAUCACUGGCGGACGGGUGAGUAACACGUAGGUGAUCUGCCCCUAUCACAGACAUAACGUCGGGAAACCGGCGCUAAUAUCUGAUGAGGUCGAGAGAUCAAAGCCUUUGGGCGGAUAGGGAUGAGCCUGCGUCUGAUUAGCUAGUUGGUGAGGUAACGGCUCACCAAGGCCACGAUCAGUAGCUGGUCUGAGAGGACGAACAGCCACACUGGAACUGAGACACGGUCCAGACUCCUACGGGAGGCAGCAGUGAGGAAUAUUGGUCAAUGGGAGCAAUCCUGAACCAGCAAUGCCGCGUGUGGGAUGACGGGGCUCAGCCCUGUAAACCACUGUCGGACGGGACGAAAGGAGCCUUCAGGGCUCUGGGACGGUACCGUCAAAGGAAGGGUCGGCUAACUACGUGCCAGCAGCCGCGGUAAUACGUAGGACCCGAGCGUUGUCCGGAAUUACUGGGUAUAAAGGGUGCGCAGGCGGCCGUGUGCGUCAGAGGUGAAAUCUCCGGGCUUAACCCGGAGGGUGCCUUUGAUACGGCAUGGCUUGAGUCCGAGAGAGGGUGAUGGAAUUCCUGGUGUAGCAGUGAAAUGCGUAGAUAUCAGGAGGAACACCGGUGGCGAAGGCGGUCACCUGGCUCGGCACUGACGCUUAGGCACGAAAGCGUGGGGAUCAAACAGGAUUAGAUACCCUGGUAGUCCACGCCCUAAACGAUGUAUGCUUGGUGUUGGAUCAGCAAUGAUUCAGUGCCGAAAGGGAAUCUGUUAAGCAUACCACCUGGGGAGUACGAUCGCAAGGUUGAACUCAAGGAAUUGACGGGGGCCCGCACAAGCGGUGGAUCAUGUGGUUUAUUCGAUGCACGCGAGAUCUUACUCGGGCUGAGUGCAGAGUACAGAGAUGAAGUCGACGACCCGUAAGU
This 959-nucleotide ribosomal RNA is filed under the name uncultured bacterium. RNAcentral's name for it is "bacterial SSU rRNA". It matches the Rfam family "Bacterial small subunit ribosomal RNA", at positions 27 to 1023 of the family's 1533-position model. The record is from RNAcentral.